This is a non-coding RNA of Paramuricea clavata, 3970 nucleotides long. The record is from the annotation of a GenBank genome assembly. Lineage: Eukaryota; Metazoa; Cnidaria; Anthozoa; Malacalcyonacea; Plexauridae.
UUCAGUCGUCCAGUCGCAUGAGGAAAGAAGUUGAACGCUCUCUCUUCGCCCGAUGUAAGUUGCAGUGUUAACGUAAUCAUAUAGGCGGAAUAUUGGUUUUGUUGGGCGGGCUAGACAAGCUGUCUAGAGGGGGCCGGGGACAUGCUGCCCAGAAAGUUUUGAAAUCUUGAGUUACGGAAAUGACAUUUCCUGCGAUCUGGGGAAGAUUUGACAGGCAGGAACUAUGUUGUUUUGUUCAUUCUGCAUUGAAGGCUUAAAGCAGCGAAGAAUCCGUCACCAUCUUAUUACGUUCUCCCACUCCGAUUUUUUUCUGGGAGGCUUAGCCCCCUUACAUCUACUUUUGGGGGCAUAGCUUCCUUACUUCUACUGUUAUAGCCCUCCCUGUUACGCUGCCUAUAUGACCCAUAGCAAACAUUUUACAGGACGCCGUGUUACUUUUACAGGACUUCAUUUAAAUUAAACUAGCAUUGGCUAAACUGGAUGUUCCUGUUAAAAUAUUGGUUAAAUGAAACGCAUGUGGAGUUUGUUAUUCAACAUUCUGAGUAGCGGUUCGUUCCAAGCUCAUUUUAAGGUCGACUGCAAAUAGUCUAACGAUAUUUAAAACAACUGAUGCAUGACUUCAAUGGUCCAUUUGGUGAACAAACUUUAUUUUAAACACACACAACAUUGGUUAAGAAAACUGCUAUACAAUUUUUGGUGGGACGAAUUUUAAUUUCUACAUUUUAACAAUUUAGUAUCAGAAACACGAGACACUAUUGGUACUUCAAGAAAGCAACUUGAGGUUUGUUGUUUAAAGCAUAUAUUUUUGUUCUAAUGUUCUUAAAGAUACAGCGCAACCUUCUGAAUGAUGGUUUUUCAUGUGAUGUCAACAUGCAAUUUUGAAAUAUUCAUUAACUUUUUCAAUUUAAGGUGGUGGCUCCCUACAGUUGUUGAGAAUGGCAGCGAAAAAUAAGGUCUUCACAACGACGCGAAAUUAUUUGCUAUUUAUGCAAAAUAGAGAAUUUUUUGAAAGUAUAAACGCUUGUGCAAUCUUUAUACUUGAAGUACAUUAGUUCGAAAGAAUCAAAUUAUGUGUUGCUAUGGUAACAAUGUGACCCAAGCGACAGACAUUCAAUUUUACACUAAAAAUGAAUUUAUUAAAAUUUCCUUCGGUCAAAGUUUCUAAAAUUUGGUAGGUGUAAAGGGAAUAUCUAAUGGGAGAUUAUAUAAAAAAAUUAGGUGGAGUUACAAAUUGAACUUUUGAGAUAUCACACAAAAUUUGUUCCACAAAAACUGCUUUAUAGAAUUUUUGAGUAUAUUGAACUAAAUGACUACUACUUUUAAAAAACAAAAUUUCAGAAAAAUUGACCGAAGGAAAAAUAAGUUUUACUGCAUUUCAAAGCUUGUGUGGCGAGAUGAAAUUUUUGCUGACGUGAUUUUGUUUCAACUUUACAAGCUCACUUUUUGACGCUGAGCUAUAUUAUAUUAUACAAAUAAUGAAUGUUUAUGAGUGCAAUGGUAAGAAUAUUUUCAUGAGGUGAAAGAUGGAAUGUUCCAUUCAACGAGGCGACAGCCGAGUUGAAUGGAACAUUCCAUCUUUCACCGAAUGAAAAUAUUCUUACCAUUGCACGAAUAAAAACAUUCAUUAUUUGUUUUAUAUAAUACCAGAAUAGACUAAUAUUAAAAGGUUUACUGUAAGCUCCCGCCAUUUUGACGAGUCGUAUUUGCAUUAAAUCCCAUUUACUGAGUUUCGAAUAUCGGGUUAAAAUAUACUGCGAUCACCGUACGAGAAGCAUUUUGACGGAUGCGAUUUAGCGAAAACACAAAGAGUGCAAUGGAAUAAAACGUAUAGUACAAUUGCACUCGCAAGAGUGCAAUGGAACGUAUUCCAUUGCACUCUUGGGAAAUGGAAUUUUCUAUUCAAUAUCACGUGACCAUAAACAGCCAAUUAAACGAUCAGAAUUCAAUAAGGUAUUAUAUAAUACAAAUUAUUUGUAAUAUUAUAGUUCAGUGUUUCUUGAGCAUGCACGCCUGCCACGCCGGGAAAACUUUUCAAAACAUCUUUAAAAACUGCGAGUUUGACUUUUCAUCUUUGCCAAAAUUUGGUCUAAUGACUUUAGUUUUACAUUCACUUGUUUGAAAAGAUAAAACACUACAUGUAAAUGUAGUAAUUUAAGUCGAAUGACAGGAGUUUGUUUAAAAAUACAUUUAUUGAUUUAAUAUAUUAAAAAUAUCAAUUUUAAAAGAACGUUAUUGACACAAUAUUGAACGUAAACACGUAUAAAAACACACUAAAAGAUAGCGUAGAAACUGGGAAACAACAUACGUACAGUUUGAAUUUCAAAAAUUUACAAUUAGACGGAAAAACUUGAGUUUUCUUCCUUGACAUAAAGUUUGAAAAGUAUACUAUUUAAAAAACGAGCAGGAGUGUUUUAUUAGGUUUAAAGCCACGAGCGCGCAGCGCGAGUGGCUUUAGACCUAAUAAAACACGACCUGCGAGUUUUUUAAAUGGCUUCAAAAACGUUUGCUUAAUAAGUCAAAUCUUUAUAUAAAAAUCUUUAUAUAAAAAUCUUUAUAUAGUUUGCAUAACAAUGGUCUGUCAAUAACGACGUAUGCACGUGACUAAUUUCUUACUCAAGAUGAACAUACUUUCAAUUUGAACAUACUUUCAAAUUUUUUUACCGAUCCACAAAUUAAAGAUUCCACGCGCGCGACGCGAGUGUUUCCACUUUUAGAACUAUCGUGUUUCCAUUUUACAAUCGUGUUUUCACUUCUACUGUUCUAGUUUCAACUGUAGGGAGCCACCUUAAGUUUGUGAAUACCGUAUUUGGACUACAAGCUAAGGUGAAGUUUCGCAAGUCUACAUCGCAACUGAAUCUAAAACCCUUCCUGAGAUAUACUGAGGAUAAAUUUAGACGAAAGAUUGACUAUAUAGGUCAAAUUUCACAUCAAAAUAGCCAGGAUAAACGAGUGAAAUUAUCUAAAUAUCUUCGUUUACGUUUAAAAUAGCCAACGUGUUCGACUUUAUUGUACUUUUUCUCGAUGACGCAGUCGUCAGGGCAAGCGCCUUUAACCUCAGAUCGCUACGGAGUCAUGGCAUUUAGUGAAGAGUCGGUCAACGCUCUACCGAAAGUCGUGGGUUUUUUCGGGUAGUCCGGUUUCCUACCACAGGAAAUGUUGACAGGGUGGGUUGGGAUUAGCUCCUAACUGACCCUUCCAUCGUAGCUGUUCUCCGUGAUCAGACAUGAGUCAUCAGGUGGCUGCCAGAGAGACGCCCCUUAGAAAGCCUUUGGCUCGAUCAGGUUGAGCUGCGUUCUUCGCAGUGCAGCUCAGCUCUCAGCUGCGAAUAAGGGUGAUCAGGUGAUCGGACAGGGUGAUCGGUUAUUCUCAGCUGCGAAUAAGGUUUUAAUCGGUACACCAUCUCCCCCCCCAGACACACAUACACACACUUGGAGGUUGUGCCUAUUCUAUUGUCACGAAAUAGUACAAUGAGAAGGUAAGAAAGUUAGUAUUCAUAGGCAUUACAAUACCACAUAAUUUUACAAAACGUCUUGCCAACGACAAAACCAAAAUUGCGAAUUCUCAUUGAAACCAUAAUUCGAAAGCUGCACUGGGCAAACAAAUUAUUUCGUGGUUUGUUUAGUCAACUUGUGCAAUUUUCUGUACCACGAUUGUUCAUAAUUUUCAAGGUAUGGUACACUUAUUGGUUGCCUUUAUUUUUAGGAUCGUUUGGCUUCUAGAAAUGGCAACUAAUUUCAAUACAUUUUUUACACUUUGUAUUUUCUGUGUAUAUGUAAUAUUAUUAUAAAUGUAACAAAAGAUCUAAUAUUUUAUAUCUAUGACUAUGUGGAAUAAAUUGGAUCAAUCGUGCACUUCAUCUAUUCCCAAUUAUUAAUAGUAGGUCGUGUAAACACAGAGGUGAAAAUCGAUUGAAAAAACAUUCCCUUUUGAUUAUACCGGAUUAAGGUACGUUGACACGCUGCGAUUUGUC